Long non-coding RNA from Hibiscus syriacus, 545 nucleotides. RefSeq lists it as uncharacterized. Lineage: Eukaryota; Viridiplantae; Streptophyta; Magnoliopsida; Malvales; Malvaceae. The record is from RefSeq and is a predicted model, not a curated record. The transcript has 2 exons.
GUUACUCUUUUUAACAUGCUUGGGCAAAUAGCCUUGUAUCCAUUGUUUUUAAUUCUUACAAUGUCUUAUAUGACAUUGUAAUUAUAAUUCCCUAUCAUUGAAGUUUGUUAUUGCAUGUAUAAUUUUAGAACUUUAUUUCUUCGUCAGCAGGAAGCGGCUUGAUUCAUCUCUUCAAGAUUUGGAAGAGAAACAACACAACAAGCGAGAAGUAAUAUUAAAGGUGCAGCAGAGGAUUCAAUCUCAUCAAGCUGGAAAAGCCAAGACUUAGCUCCUCUUCAUAUAUUUCUCCGAAUGACCGGUAUCAUUCGAGUCGAAUAUCAUUUAAUGCUGCAUUCUGCAGUUGUACAUCAUAAUCGGAGCUUUAAUCCGGUGUUCUCGAUCCAUGGCGUUGUAAAAGCUACAGUCUGUGCUAGCCUCUUUAACCAUGAUAGUUAACGAUACGACAUGGUAAGUUUUUCGAAGCACUCUCAGCUUUUUCUUUUCUACUGCCCUUUUUCGGUGAGACUGAUGAUUGAUUGCUACUUAAAUACUGGAGUUUGAUUGCU